GCGCCCGUAGCUCAAUGGAUAGAGCGUCUGACUUCGAAUCAGUAGGUUGGGGGUUCAAGUCCCUCCGCAGGUGC
Molecule: transfer RNA, 74 nt
Filed under: Anaerolineae bacterium
Lineage: Bacteria; Bacillati; Chloroflexota; Anaerolineae
Description: tRNA-Arg
Rfam family: tRNA
About the family: Transfer RNA (tRNA) molecules are approximately 80 nucleotides in length. Their secondary structure includes four short double-helical elements and three loops (D, anti-codon, and T loops). Further hydrogen bonds mediate the characteristic L-shaped molecular structure. tRNAs have two regions of fundamental functional importance: the anti-codon, which is responsible for specific mRNA codon recognition, and the 3' end, to which the tRNAs corresponding amino acid is attached (by aminoacyl-tRNA synthetases). tRNAs cope with the degeneracy of the genetic code in two manners: having more than one tRNA (with a specific anti-codon) for a particular amino acid; and 'wobble' base-pairing, i.e. permitting non-standard base-pairing at the 3rd anti-codon position.
Source: RNAcentral